This 253-nucleotide ribosomal RNA is filed under the name uncultured bacterium. RNAcentral describes it as "partial 16S ribosomal RNA". It matches the Rfam family "Bacterial small subunit ribosomal RNA", at positions 524 to 776 of the family's 1533-position model. The record is from RNAcentral.
UACGUAGGGGGCAAGCGUUGUCCGGAAUUAUUGGGCGUAAAGAGCGCGUAGGCGGUCCGGUAAGUCGGCUGUGAAAGUCAGGGGCUCAACCCUUGAAAGCCGGCCGAUACUGUCGGACUAGAGUCCGGAAGAGGCGAGUGGAAUUCCCGGUGUAGCGGUGAAAUGCGCAGAUAUCGGGAGGAACACCAAUAGCGAAGGCAGCUCGCUGGGACGUUACUGACACUGAGGCGCGAAAGCGUGGGGAGCGAACAGG